Molecule: long non-coding RNA, 1747 nt
Filed under: Struthio camelus australis
Lineage: Eukaryota; Metazoa; Chordata; Aves; Struthioniformes; Struthionidae
Description: lncRNA (ENSSCUG00000013259.1)
Source: RNAcentral
CCUGAGGGGGAGACAGCAUCCCUGGGGCUCGGGCGGGGUCCCUGGGGGUCGAGCGGGGUCCCCUGAGUCAGACUGUCCCUAGGGUAGGACAGUGUCCCUGGGGGUGGGACAGGGUUCCCGCAGGUCAGGAAGGGACCCUUUGGGGGCACAGGGAGCCUGGGGGCAGGCAGGGUGCCCAGGGGUUGGGCAGGGUCCCCGGGGGUGGGACAGGGUUCCCGCGGGUCAGGCAGGGUCCCCGGGGCAGCGGGAUGGGGCACGGGGCGCUGAGUGGUGCAGAGAUCCCUUGCGGGUACCACUUUGGCGCUCCAGCCAUCGUGAUGCCCGCGCACAGCAAAGCCACGGGCCGCUUUCUGGGGACCAGGGAGAGGGGUCCUCGUGGCGGCAUGGCUCCUUUGGCCGUGACGGCUGGCUCCCAGCAACGUGAUGGUCUCGGGACGCCAGGUCUCUGUGGAGGAGUGAUGUUUUUUCCUUAGCGCAAGAUAAACAGCUGGGAAGUGGGCGCUGGUGGCAGAACUGGUUAACACGACUAGUCCUGCUCCGAGCUAUUGUUCUCUGGUGGUGUUGAGCUUUGCAGGCUUCUGCUGCUAUUUCAGGCCUGCUGAAGGGCUCGUGUACCCAACAGCAUGCCUGUUUUUCUUCUAAUUAUUCCAGUCAGUCUAAAAAAAGAGAUUACCUCCCUCUGCAAACCUUGCCUCCAUUGUUCUCAGCAGAAAAGAUAAGACGGGGGAGAAGGCAAGGAGAGGAAAAGCGUUGACCGCAGUUACCUCCAGAUUGAAUCCUGUCUGCAUAGGUAUUGCCACCGCUCUGGGCCAGACCAGCAGACAGCGGCUGCUGAGCAGAGAUGCAGAAGAUGCCAGAGCACCCGUCCGGGAGGGCUGCUCCCCUCCAGCAGCAGCCUGCAACAAAGCGAGAAACGAGUUUUCACUCCGCUCCCCGGUGUGUGCGCUACCGCGGAGGGCACCGGAGGAAAGGCUUCGCUCGCGCUUCUCACAUCUGCAAGAUAAGAAGUUACCGCAAACUUCUCGGGCUGGCAGGAAGAUGCGCCGGGGCCUUGAGAGCUACGCGGUGAGAGCGGCCGAGCCGAGGCGGCAGAGGGGGUGGAAAGCGCCCGCUGAUCCGCCAGGGCAGGAACGGAGGGCGUGCUCGAGCGUUCGCCCUCGGCCGACGAGGUCUUGAAAGGUUCCAGCUAACGGCGGGGGGCGGGGGGCGGGGGCGCGGCUCGGCUCUGCAGCGGGCCCCUGGGCGCGAGCCCUCUUCUCGUCCUGCUCCUGCCAGCGUGCGAGAACGGCCGGAGCUGAUCCAGGAGCUCCUGAGGAUAACGACGCGCAAAUAGUUAUUAGCGGUAAUUAGAAAAAAAGACACCGACGGCGUGUUCACAUCGGCGGAGCGCUGGGUUUGGCCGAGGCUCUCCGAGGUGACACCCUUGUUGCGUAAACGCUCUCCGUGGCCUCCCAGGCUCCUUCUCCCGCGGCUCAUAGCGACGCUGUGCAAGGAAAGCAGGGAUAUAAGUGCAGGCAGCGGCACGGGGAAGCCUGGAGAGCAGCAGGCUGGUUGUGAGCGUUCGAGCGUUUCAGAUUCUCAUCCGUCUUUCACACCAGGCUCCUUUGAAAGAUUUGACCAGAAGAUUAGGGAUCGCCGUCGUAACUCGGAGCUGUCGCCGAGUCCGGGGCAGUUCUCCGCUGCGUAACAUCAGACGGGUGCGGGCUUGAAAUCACGGAGCCGUUCCCUUUGCUUAAUUCUCCAAAUA